AACAAACAAAAAAUGUCAAAUUCUCUUAAUUUUAUUAGUUAUGCAAAAAGUUAAUUUUUGCAAAAAAUAAAAUAACUACAACAAAUCAUGCUUUUUGAAAAUAACAUAAGUAUUUAUACCUAUGCACAAAAGAUGAAGAGACAAGAUAAUGGAAAGAGAAAUUGCACAUAUAAGAUAUGAAAAAAUCUAUUCUCACAUUCAACCGAAAAAACAAAUGGUAAUCUUGUUAAGCCCAUUAUUGAGUAUCAGGGGAUGAAAAUAUUUGUUUCUAACAUUCGUAAUGGUUAGGAAAAUAUGAAGAUGAUACAAAUUAAAACAAUUGUAACCUGUAUAUUAAAAUAUUGGUAGAAGA
Molecule: long non-coding RNA, 352 nt
Filed under: Trifolium pratense (red clover)
Lineage: Eukaryota; Viridiplantae; Streptophyta; Magnoliopsida; Fabales; Fabaceae
Description: long non-coding RNA (TPRA_LNC012428)
Source: RNAcentral